RNAcentral lists this long non-coding RNA (1191 nucleotides) under Mustela putorius furo (domestic ferret). RNAcentral's name for it is "lncRNA (ENSMPUG00000023996.1)". Lineage: Eukaryota; Metazoa; Chordata; Mammalia; Carnivora; Mustelidae. The record is from RNAcentral.
CUCCUCAGAAGGCAUCACUUGAUUUGCCUACCUAGACUCUCUCCCCGCCCAGGGACAGGCCUAGGAGCCCACACCGCGCUCUUUGGGUAGAACACUGCGCGGAGCUCUCGGAACAGGACACAGACGAGAACGAGGACGAGGGUCAGGACCACGAAGAGAGACGGAGUUAGCUGGAGAGACUCCGGGGCUCCCACUGUGCACGGAGGGAUUUGAGCAGCGUCGGGAGGGCCGAGGGGCAUGUCGGACACCAAAGGGGCCUGCAGCUGCGGCGGGGAGCCCUCUGAACCCAGCGCAGGAUGAAGCUGACCGCCCGAGCAUCCUGCUUUGCUGACGCACCGGUGGAUAUUUGCUUCUGGUCGUUAUUCCGGCUCCUGGUCUCCAGUCCAACCAGAGGCCUCUUAGCAGCAGCACCGGUCCUGCUACCCGGCAGACCUCUUCCAGAGCUUUCCGGAUAUGGUUAACCACUGUCGAGCAAGGGGCUUUUUGAGCUCCGACGCAGAGGCCCUCCGUGGGGACCUCAGGAAUUCGUGGGCACGCCUGGCAGAUGCUGUGUGCGUUCCAGCUGUGGAUAGAGGGUGUUGAGGACACCUAGCUGAAAUGUAGACUCAUUAAAGUUACCAUGGAGAACUGCUCAGAUACUCAUCGUGACAGCCUUUCUUUAGGUGUAAAUGCAACAGAUGAUGCUAAAAUAUGUUCUUUCCUUUCCCUCUCACAGGCAGGGGGCCCCUUGUAAGUUCAAGAGCACAUUGUAUAUCUUCAUCUCUGAAAUAGUCACUUUGACACUGUCUUUACAGACCGCAGUGUGAGCUUGUGUGGUGGCCCUUGUCUUGCUCCCCAGCAAGAAGGAAAUUGUCGUUUGAAUUUUUAAGAUUUAUCAUUUUUUCCCCCCACUCCAUACCAUUUGUGGCCCAGCUUCUCAUUUCAAGAGAGAAAUAGUUAUAUAUAUAUAGUCCUCAUUCUUUGUGACUGGCUGAAUUAUAAAUUGUUGAAAUAGGGUAGCUAUACCUCAUCUUACUUGUUAUUGGGGGGGGGGGAAUCUGUCUCUCACUCCCAAAUAAAUGUCUUUUAUAUUGUCAAAUGUUCCUCGUCUGGGGGGGAAAAAACUUUCAAUAUAUAUAUAUAUAUAUAUAUAUAUAUAUAUAUUUUUUUUUUUUUUUGNNNNNNNNNNNNNNNNNNNNNNNNNNNNNNNNN